RNAcentral lists this non-coding RNA (26 nucleotides) under Mus musculus (house mouse). The record is from RNAcentral. Lineage: Eukaryota; Metazoa; Chordata; Mammalia; Rodentia; Muridae.
GGAAAAAUUCUCAGAUGUCCAAUGUU